Molecule: long non-coding RNA, 602 nt
Filed under: Physcomitrium patens
Lineage: Eukaryota; Viridiplantae; Streptophyta; Bryopsida; Funariales; Funariaceae
Description: long non-coding RNA (PPAT_LNC007106)
Source: RNAcentral
AAUCACAAAUUCAAGGCCAAUUUGCAAUUAGGUUUUGGAUUUGCCAAGAGUUCAUACUUAAGGCAGUUUAAAUUAAAGAAUGGUGAUUAUGAAGGCUUUGAUGGCAAGAACCCUUGUUGAUUUCCAAGUAAGCUAAUUAGAAUUAGAAUUGUAGUUAAAAUUUACAACUAAAUUAGUAAAUCAAUUAAUUCUUAUGAUUUAGAAUUCAGAUUUGGGCUUGUGAAUAGUUGAUCUUAGGAUAAAAAUAUGUUUUAGAGACAUUGGUGGUGUUAGUUUUUGAGUUCUAGGCAUUUCCAGCCUUGAAAUCGGAUUUGGACUGAGAGUUAUUGAGGACCCUUGAUCUUGGUUAGGAAUUUUCUGAUUUUGAUGGUGGAGAUGUAUCCGCCACUUUUGGGCCUCCUCCCAACUGGUUAAGAGGGCUUAGGUGACUGAGCUCCCUCUCUCUCUCUCCAUCUUCUUGUGGCGUAGCCAUGGCAAAAUGUUCUCCCAUCUUGUGAAUGCAAAUCUUCUUCUUUAAACUUGUAUGGCCUCAGUUUUAACUCACUCAGUCUAUCUCUUUUUAUUUUCUAUUUGUGAAACUUUGCAAGCAGAUUCUACUCUCU